This is a long non-coding RNA of Agrilus planipennis (emerald ash borer), 1050 nucleotides long. RefSeq lists it as uncharacterized. The transcript is spliced from 2 exons. NCBI's taxonomy places the organism in Eukaryota, Metazoa, Arthropoda, Insecta, Coleoptera, Buprestidae. The record is from RefSeq and is a predicted model, not a curated record.
AUUAAAAACAUACUAUAAUAAUUACAAAUGUCAUUAAAUUUGGGCUCCAACCCACUUGACAUUAAAGAAGUGCGGGUUAUCUAACUUCAUUUUAUUACAGGUUAUGUGUUUUAUUAACUAAUUUUUAAUUAAAGAAGUAAUAAUUAAAUAAUUUAACUUUCUUCGUUAUUUUUAGCUCGUUUUGUGUGCUUUUAUUUAUAAUAAUAAAUAAUAAGUGCUGUUAAAUUUUAUGUAAAACUGAUAACAUACUGCGUACAAUGUCCAAAUUCUUGAUAACUUGGACAUGAUUGCAUUAUAUAUUAAGCUUGAGGAGUUAAGACGGAUCUUGAAUUAGAACUAAUUAAAAUGGCACAACCACAAGCUCCUGUGGAACGAGAACCGUCAGAUACUCCUGGGGGACAACCAGAAUCACAAACUACUUCCAAUAUCUUGGUGGAACCUGACACAGGCAUGGAAGUACGUAAAGCAAAGAUAGAACUUAACGGGAACAAAAAAGUGCAAGUAUUAAAGCUUAUCAUCGAUGCUUACACAAACAUUUUCGACCGAUUCUUCCCUAAUCUCCCUUCUACAGCCCAGGAGAGAUCAGAUUUAAACAUCAGUAUACAAAUAACUAAUAUUAUAUUCACUUUACAUUCUAUUCGACGGCGGGCCUUUACAGCUUCGGACUCGAACACGAUUGGAAAGUUAAAGCACCAGUUGGUUUAGUAUGAGUGACCUCGAAUUAAACCGCCCUGGAUCAUUCAUAGAGGACAUGACCAUUCAAACCACAGGAAAAUUCUUCGUGGGAGGAAACCAGUAGUUUUAAGUGUUUAAACUAAACUUUCUUAAUAUUGUAUUGUUACCACUUUUUAUAAAUCGCUUUUUUCUUGUAUUUCGUUCUUUUUUUGAAGCUAAUUUUUUAUAAUAUUGUUAUUAGUGUUGAUAAAGAAAGACCCUUUCAAUUUGUUUGACAAAAAUGUUACCGAAUUUGUUAUAAAUUCAAAUUUUUACAUAAGUAUUUGAAAUGUAUGAAUAAAUAGUAGAAGCACAUUAAUAUAAUUAUUGAUUAAU